Molecule: non-coding RNA, 115 nt
Filed under: Williamsia sterculiae
Lineage: Bacteria; Bacillati; Actinomycetota; Actinomycetes; Mycobacteriales; Nocardiaceae
Description: SAM-IV sequence
Rfam family: SAM (S-adenosyl methionine) riboswitch aptamer
About the family: SAM-IV is a mRNA element that regulates gene expression via direct sensing of S-adenosylmethionine (SAM or AdoMet).
Source: Rfam by way of RNAcentral
GGUCAUGAGUGUCAGCGACAAGCCCCGGCUAGCUGAUCGGCAACCCUCCAACCGCGGUGGGGUGCUCCGGGUGAUGACCGGGUUGUGGUGGCACACACCACGGCAAGCGCGGGUC